MicroRNA precursor from Bubo bubo (Eurasian eagle-owl), 93 nucleotides. Lineage: Eukaryota; Metazoa; Chordata; Aves; Strigiformes; Strigidae. The record is from Ensembl.
CUGAGCAACCUGAAGCAUAUUUAUACAGAUUAAGUGGUUUCUAAUACUCCAAAGAGCACUUAAUCUGCAUGAAUGUGCUUCAUGUUGCUAUGU